This 75-nucleotide transfer RNA is filed under the name Verrucomicrobiota bacterium. RNAcentral describes it as "Verrucomicrobia bacterium tRNA-Thr". It matches the Rfam family "tRNA". From Rfam's summary of the family: Transfer RNA (tRNA) molecules are approximately 80 nucleotides in length. Their secondary structure includes four short double-helical elements and three loops (D, anti-codon, and T loops). The record is from RNAcentral. RNAcentral also lists the same sequence under 2 other names. Lineage: Bacteria; Pseudomonadati; Verrucomicrobiota.
GCCAGUGUAGCUCAGCGGCAGAGCAACGGUUUCGUAAACCGUAGGUCGUCGGUUCGACCCCGACCACUGGCUCCA